Molecule: long non-coding RNA, 3103 nt
Filed under: Homo sapiens (human)
Lineage: Eukaryota; Metazoa; Chordata; Mammalia; Primates; Hominidae
Description: HSALNT0344556
Source: RNAcentral
UUCCAAGUCUUUGCUAUUGUGAAUAAUGCCACAAUAAACAUACGUGUGCAUGUGUCUUUAUAGCAGCAUGAUUUAUAGUCCUUUGGGUAUAUACCCAGUAAUGGGAUGGCUGGGUCAAAUGGUAUUUCUAGUUCUAGAUCCCUCAUCAACCUUUUUAAAAAGCAUUUAGGAGCUGCUGGUUGUAAAUGAUCACUGAGAAAUAGUAUUUCCCUCACUUGUAGCCAUCUGCUUCUCUUUUUGGUUCUGGAACAUUCUAGAACCUUGGAAGGUGGCUGGGGCUGAGUCUCAGCCAGCAGGGUUGCCCAGUGCCCCUUGUCACCCCCCGAGCAACACAAGCCAGGCUGCGGUUACUCUGGGUCUGUGCAUCUGGGAUCAUAGUUUUUAAAUCUGCCCCAGGGUCCUCCAGUCCCAGCUGUGGAAAGUCACCCUCAGAGGGUGAGGCGGGUGGCGCGCCUCUGUGUGAGUGGCCCCAUCCUUCACAGCGAGUUUGUGUCUACUGAAUCGCAGACUCUUGGAGGCUGAAGGGUUACAGGAGGUCGUGUGUCUCACGUCGCCACUUCACGGUUGAGGACCUCGUGACCCGCUUUGCUCAGUGGCUGCGCAAGAUGAGUAAUGACCUGAAACAGGGAAAAUGUCUUGGAUACAUCUUGCGUAAUGAGGAGAAAAAUGCAGCCAUGUUGCAGCCUGAUGAAAUACUCUGCCAGUAUCCUGCCAUAAAAUGACAGGCGAAUUUUCAGUAACAGAUUCUCUAAUAGUUCUAUGGUCUUCUAGAUGCUAAACUGUUUAAGUAUCUACAUUUUCUAAGCCCGCCUAAUGGAAAUAUUCUCAAAAAACAUAAACCCUUCAUUCUUUCUCAAAUAGGUUACAUUAGUUAUAAUAUACACUCUGGAGGUGACUUGACCCAUCAUUGUGAACAACUAUUGCUCUUGGACGACCCAGGACUUAGGCCAGCCAACAUCUAGGCUUGCUGUCAAGGCUUCUGAUCAACAUGAGAUGACCGCCGUGUGGUAAACUGAUGAACCCCGACCCUGAUCAACGUGAGAUGACCGCCGUGUGGUAAACUGAUGAACCCCGACCCUGAUGAACAUGAGAUGACCGCCGUGUGGUAAACUGAUGAACCCCGACCCUGAUCAACAUGAGAUGACCGCCGUGUGGUAAACUGAUGAACCCCGACCCUGAUCAACAUGAGAUGACCGCCGUGUGGUAAACUGAUGAACCCCGACCCUGAUGAACGUGAGAUGACCGCCGUGUCGUAAACUGAUGAACCCCGACCCUGAUGAACGUGAGAUGGCCGCCGUGUGGUAAACUGAUGAACCCCGACCCUGAUGAACGUGAGAUGGCCGCCGUGUGGUAAACUGAUGAACCCCGACCCUGAUGAACGUGAGAUGGCCGCCGUGUGGUAAACUGAUGAACCCCGACCCUGAUGAACGUGAGAUGACCGCCGUGUGGUAAACUGAUGAACCCCGACCCUGAUGAACGUGAGAUGGCCGCCGUGUGGUAAACUGAUGAACCCCGACCCUGAUCAACGUGAGAUGGCCGCCGUGUGGUAAACUGAUGAACCCCGACCCUGAUGAACAUGAGAUGGCCGCCGUGUGGUAAACUGAUGAACCCCGACCCUGAUGAACGUGAGAUGACCGCCGUGUGGUAAACUGAUGAACCCCGACCCUGAUGAACGUGAGAUGACCGCCGUGUGGUAAACUGAUGAACCCCGACCCUGAUCAACGUGAGAUGGCCGCCGUGUGGUAAACUGAUGAACCCCGACCCUGAUGAACGUGAGAUGGCCGCCGUGUGGUAAACUGAUGAACCCCGACCCUGAUGAACGUGAGAUGGCCGCCGUGUGGUAAACUGAUGAACCCCGACCCUGAUGAACGUGAGAUGGCCGCCGUGUGGUAAACUGAUGAACCCCGACCCUGAUCAACGUGAGAUGGCCGCCGUGUGGUAAACUGAUGAACCCCGACCCUGAUGAACGUGAGAUGGCCGCCGUGUGGUAAACUGAUGAACCCCGACCCUGAUGAACGUGAGAUGGCCGCCGUGUGGUAAACUGAUGAACCCCGACCCUGAUCAACGUGAGAUGGCCGCCGUGUGGUAAACUGAUGAACCCCGACCCUGAUGAACGUGAGAUGGCCGCCGUGUGGUAAACUGAUGAACCCCGACCCUGAUGAACGUGAGAUGGCCGCCGUGUGGUAAACUGAUGAACCCCGACCCUGAUGAACGUGAGAUGGCCGCCGUGUGGUAAACUGAUGAACCCCGACCCUGAUGAACGUGAGAUGGCCGCCGUGUGGUAAACUGAUGAACCCCGACCCUGAUGAACGUGAGAUGGCCGCCGUGUGGUAAACUGAUGAACCCCGACCCUGAUCAACGUGAGAUGACCGCCGUGUGGUAAACUGAUGAACCCCGACCCUGAUCAACGUGAGAUGACCGCCGUGUGGUAAACUGAUGAACCCCGACCCUGAUCAACGUGAGAUGGCCGCCGUGUGGUAAACUGAUGAACCCCGACCCUGAUGAACGUGAGAUGGCCGCCGUGUGGUAAACUGAUGAACCCCGACCCUGAUCAACAUGAGAUGACCGCCGUGUGGUAAACUGAUGAACCCCGACCCUGAUGAACAUGAGAUGGCUGCCGUGUGGUAAACUGAUGAACCCCGACCCUGAUGAACAUGAGAUGACCGCCGUGUGGUAAACUGAUGAACCCCGACCCUGAUGAACAUGAGAUGGCCGCCGUGUGGUAAACUGAUGAACCCCGACCCUGAUGAACGUGAGAUGGCCGCCGUGUGGUAAACUGAUGAACCCCGACCCUGAUCAACAUGAGAUGACUGCCGUGUGGUAAACUGAUGAACCCCGACACUGAUCAACAUGAGAUGGCCGCUGUGUGGUAAACUGAUGAACCCUGGCCCAUUAGGCUUUGGCUACAGAAUGUGGAAAUAAGUUGUGUUACUACAUGUGUGUAAUCCUAGGGUUCAGGACACAGGCUGGGAGGUUCCAUAGAGUGAUGGGUUGUGCAGGUAACUCAUCCUCUAGUCCUCUGUAAGCUCCUAGAAGGAAGAAAUUAUGUCCUUUAGACUAAUAAAAUUCCUCCAAACCAAAUACAGCACCUACUGUGAAGACA